Long non-coding RNA from Amblyraja radiata (thorny skate), 2034 nucleotides. RefSeq lists it as uncharacterized. The transcript has 3 exons. Lineage: Eukaryota; Metazoa; Chordata; Chondrichthyes; Rajiformes; Rajidae. The record is from RefSeq and is a predicted model, not a curated record.
UGUUUCUGUGCUGUAAUUGUACUGAGGCUAAAAGACUACACAGGGAGGGAAUGGCUUGCAUGAGAUUUCCCAAGGAUUUGUUGGGACAUCUGCAUGAGAUAUUUGAUAAUGGGGAAAAUAAUCAUAGGUAUAGAGAUGCAAGAGUUUGCAAAUGCUGGAACUUGGAGCAACAAAUAUAUUGCUGGAGGAAAUUGGUGGGUCGGGCAACAUCUGUGGAGAAAAAUGGAUAAUUCAUGUUUUGGAUUCAUUUGAAUUUUGGAGCGAGAGGAACGAUGAUUCAUUGAAUCAUUCAAUUAUUGAAUUAAAUCAUUGAGAGGAUAAUGCUAAGAUUUGUUACCUUUAUCAUCUGCGGAUGCCUUCACGUUCUACCAUUCUCACCUCCAAACAGUUCUGAAGGUUGUUGGUUUCAUGUCACUGAAUUGGAAUUUACUGCUAUAUUUUCUAAACAGUAAAUAUACCAUACCUUGCUUCUUUGGAGUUAAUUUGUUUUUAUUCCAUUGAGUUUUAUAAUUUAGUUAAUUUUAUACAUUUCUACAAAUGUAUUCACUGAUAAUCCUAUUAUUAUUUGCAAAACUCUGAAAGUAAAUUUAGUGCAGGAUGAAGCAGUUUUUUUAAUACUUACUGAGAGUGAAAGUGUGCAAUUGUUGCUAUGGUUUGUGCAGCAGCUUCACUCCCACUGAGCAGUAUUAGUAAACUCAGCGAUUUGCAACUAUCUCCACUUUUUGAGCAUGUUGUGGGUGAUUAUGCAGGGAGCAAUAUAUGCUAAAAACGACAAGGGUGAGCUCUCUGUUUCAAUAUGAUGUGAUUAUUGAAAAGACUGGUUUUGUGCUGAUUAGCUGAGAUAAAUGGACAUGACUAGUUGACAUGAAGUGUCAAGAGGAAUGCAAAUCUACGAGAUAGUGUGUCCCCUGAUGCGAUAUUAAAACCUUUCCCAUUAAAAUCAACUUGUCCAGUAAGGUUUGAGUAUUUAGUGAUUCAUUUAUGUUAUCCUUAAUGUUAAGAAUUAGAUUACUUGAAAGGAGCCAAAUUGUCCAAAGACAAGGCAAUAUUUCAACUGCUCUUUCUAGCAUUUCCAUUAAAAAUGCAAAUUACAAAUUGAUGUUUGUAGCAAAUUAUCACAAGGGAUCAGCCAUUUGAAAAAGUAUAAUGGAAAAUAACUGCUUUGGUAGACUAACUUUCGAGCUUGCAAAGUGAUAACAGCAGCAAAAACCGUAAAAGGGUGUAGGCGUGGAUGCUUGUCUGUUGUAGGGUGCUUCUGUAUCACGUUUAAAAAAAAAAAAGAAUGGAAAAUUUACAGAGCAGUUAAUAAUUCUUGUGAGAUGUUUGCUGUGCCUUGCUGCACUAAAAAUCGACAGUAGUUUCCAAAGAAAAGUGUUACUUUGCUUUUUGUAGUUGUAGAAGAAAUGGACAUAAUGUCUUAAGAAUUUUAUGUUUAGCAAUUUCUUCUGAGAUUUUUUUCUCAAUAGUCCUUAAUCUCAAUAAUUGUUUACUUACUUAUAUUUUGAUCCUCAUUUACUAAUUCUAUGCAAUAUUUUUUCCAUCUGAUUGCUUCACCUCAAUAAUUAAAAAAAAAACAUAAUCCUAUUGAUGACGCUUGGUUUCAUUACUUCACAUGCUUAAAAACAAUUAAGAAAAUCAAAUGCAUAAAAACCUAUCUCCCCAGAAGACAAAUCAUGAAUUCUAUCUUUUGGGACUAAAUAUUCCUGUGGAAAAUAUGACAAUUGUAUCCAGCCUUUUAAAAUUUAAGUUGGAAACUAUUUUAAUCAUGAAUUCUACCUUUAAGGACUAAAUGUUCCUGUGGAAAGUAUAAUAAUUGUUUUCAGCCUUUUAAAAUUUAAUUUGGAAAUAUAAUGUUCCUGAAUGGGGCGUAAAUCCCUAUUCAAUUAGAACAUUUAUAUUUUUUGGAAGCAAACUGAUUCAACAUUACAUUUCUGAGAAAAAAAUACUUUACAUGGGCAAUGCAAUAGGUUAAAAAAAAGACAACAAAAUCACAUAAAUGCAGAUGCUGGAUAUCUGAAAUAUAAACAGAAAGUG